UGGACCUUCCGGAGCUUCUCAGAAGAC
RNAcentral lists this non-coding RNA (27 nucleotides) under Homo sapiens (human). The record is from RNAcentral. Lineage: Eukaryota; Metazoa; Chordata; Mammalia; Primates; Hominidae.